Molecule: long non-coding RNA, 1324 nt
Filed under: Sarcophilus harrisii (Tasmanian devil)
Lineage: Eukaryota; Metazoa; Chordata; Mammalia; Dasyuromorphia; Dasyuridae
Description: lncRNA (ENSSHAG00000023132.1)
Source: RNAcentral
UGCUUGUUGGAGAUGCUCCCCAGCCCCUGAGUUAUGGAUCCUGCUUCCGGCAGGUGGGCGGCUCUUCCGCCUACGUCUCCAGGCUGGGGGGGCGGCCGGGCUCCCUGAGGGUCUGGCUCUGGUGGGGCUGGGCUUGGGGUCUUGGGCAGCCCGCUGACUCACUCGCUGGUGCAAUAAGUACCUCACACGAGGCCCCGGCUCCCUGCGCUCGUGUUUCAGGAAAGCCCAGCACGGGAUGGGAGUGGGCGGUGAGCGUGGCUGAGGCCCGAGGGCCGGACGUCCUGCAGCCUGGCUGGGCGCCUCUCGGGCUCUUCUCUCUCUGCCCCGGCCCGGAUCCCUCGGGCCCUUCUGGGCCCAUCCCUGGUCACGGGGGUGGGACGCAGUUAAGAGUCCGCCGUCGGAGGGCACGGUGUGCUGGGUGGGCGUGCAGGUCAGGGAGCCGGGGCCCCGGGACGGUCCCUUCCCGGCUCCCCUUCUGCCACCCUCACAGUGAAAGGGGCCAAGGAAGCCUGGCACAGGGGAGCGCCCCAGGGGACCGGCCCAGAGUCGGGCAGAGCCCCCCACCCCGGUCACUUGUCUUUGCUCGUGUAGGCCCGGGGCCUGGGGCAGGGCUUGGCAAGGACUAGGAACUCAACUCCUGCCUGCUGGUGGGCCCCGGGAGGUCGGGGGUCACUGGGCAAGCAGGCCGGCUUCCUGGAGGGGGAGGCACUGAGGGAACCGGAGAGCAUCAUGGGAAGGGUGGGAGGGAGGACCGCAGGCGGGGAAGCCGGAGGCACCCUUGGCCCAGGAGGGGAGCCCGCAUAACGUUCUUCACACACGUCCCCGGGACUUUGCUUCUGGGCCCACAGCAGCCCUGGGAAGUGCCGGGAACCGAGCCUGAAGUCACGCCUCGGGUCCCUGGCAGGGUCCCAACUCCGGCCUUGCUGACACAUCCGGGCCUUUGCCCUCAGUACCUGGGGCUCCUGGGGCCCAUUCUGGCCCGGAGCUUCCUGCGAGGGGACGAUCCAGGAGGCUCCCUGCAAGGCAGCGCCAGGGCCGCCGCCGUGUUUCCUCUCCGGGAACGGAAGCCGGCCCAGGGCAAAGGCCGCGGCUUUUGGCUUCGCAUUCCCAGAGCGUUACAUACAGCAGGCGCUCAAUAAAUGCUCAUUGAAUGACUGAUUCCGAUCGCGCUCCUCCGGAUGCUCUGCAGUCUACCGGUGACUGACAGACCGUCGGACAGACGGCAGGGGGUUUGCAGGGGCUUGGAAGCCGAGGCCCCGGCGCUUCCACAACUCAGGGGCUGGGGAGCAUCUCCAACAAGCAGUCAGGGGUCCGGGCCAAGGCA